GAUGAACGCUGGCGGCGUGCCUAAUACAUGCCAGUCGAGCGAACAGAUGAGGAGCUUGCUCCUCUGACGUUAGCGGCGGACGGGUGAGUAACACGUGGAUAACCUACCUAUAAGACUGGGAUAACUUCGGGAAACCGGAGCUAAUACCGGAUAAUAUAUUGAACCGCAUGGUUCAAUAGUGAAAGACGGUUUCGCUGUCACUUAUAGAUGGAUCCGCGCCGCAUUAGCUAGUUGGUAAGGUAACGGCUUACCAAGGCAACGAUGCGUAGCCGACCUGAGAGGGUGAUCGGCCACACUGGAACUGAGACACGGUCCAGACUCCUACGGGAGGCAGCAGUAGGGAAUCUUCCGCAAUGGGCGAAAGCCUGACGGAGCAACGCCGCGUGAGUGAUGAAGGUCUUCGGAUCGUAAAACUCUGUUAUUAGGGAAGAACAAAUGUGUAAGUAACUAUGCACGUCUUGACGGUACCUAAUCAGAAAGCCACGGCUAACUACGUG
This 497-nucleotide ribosomal RNA is filed under the name uncultured bacterium. Its description in RNAcentral is "partial 16S ribosomal RNA". It matches the Rfam family "Bacterial small subunit ribosomal RNA", at positions 28 to 507 of the family's 1533-position model. The record is from RNAcentral.